AUUUAUAUAGCUUAUAAUAGAGCGUGAUAUUGAAGAUAUCAAAGAGGUUUUUAACCUGUAAAUA
This 64-nucleotide transfer RNA is filed under the name Histeridae sp. BMNH 1274738. RNAcentral's name for it is "tRNA-Phe". The record is from RNAcentral. Lineage: Eukaryota; Metazoa; Arthropoda; Insecta; Coleoptera; Histeridae.